GUCCCUGUUAGAUUAAUGGCUAAGGCGCUUGCAGUUGAACAACGUUCAAUAACAGACGUCCUGGGUUCGAUCCCCAGCAGGGCCA
Molecule: non-coding RNA, 85 nt
Organism: Mycena rebaudengoi
Lineage: Eukaryota; Fungi; Basidiomycota; Agaricomycetes; Agaricales; Mycenaceae
Source: the annotation of a GenBank genome assembly